Molecule: ribosomal RNA, 253 nt
Filed under: uncultured bacterium
Lineage: Bacteria
Description: partial 16S ribosomal RNA
Rfam family: Bacterial small subunit ribosomal RNA
Source: RNAcentral
UACGGGGGGGGCAAGCGUGGUUCGGAAUUACUGGGCGUAAAGGGCUCGUAGGCGGCCAACUAAGUCCGACGUGAAAUCCCCAGGCUUAACCUGGGAACUGCGUCGGAUACUGGAUGGCUUGAAUUCGGGAGAGGGAUGCAGAAUUCCAGGUGUAGCGGUGAAAUGCGUAGAUAUCUGGAGGAAUACCGGUGGCGAAGGCGGCAUCCUGGACCGACAUUGACGCUGAUGAGCGAAAGCUAGGGGAGCAAACGGG